This 495-nucleotide ribosomal RNA is filed under the name uncultured bacterium. RNAcentral describes it as "bacterial SSU rRNA". It matches the Rfam family "Bacterial small subunit ribosomal RNA", at positions 15 to 518 of the family's 1533-position model. The record is from RNAcentral.
GAUCUUGGUCAGGAUGAACGCUGGCGGCGUGCCUAACACAUGCAAGUCGAACGAAACACGAAGAAGUGCUUGCACGGAUUGUGAUUGAGUGGCGGACGGGUGAGUAACGCGUGGGUAACCUGCCUCAUACUGGGGGAUAACAGUUGGAAACGACUGCUAAUACCGCAUAAGCCCACAGUACCGCAUGGUACAGGGGGAAAAGAUUUAUUGAUAUGAGAUGGACCCGCGUCUGAUUAGUUUGUUGGUGGGGUAACGGCCUACCAAGACUGCGAUCAGUAGCCGACCUGAGAGGGUGAUCGGCCACAUUGGGACUGAGACACGGCCCAAACUCCUACGGGAGGCAGCAGUGGGGAAUAUUGCACAAUGGGGGGAACCCUGAUGCAGCGAACCGCCGCGUGAGUGAAGAAGUAUUUCGGUAUGUAAAGCUCUAUCAGCAGGGAAGAUAAUGACGGUACCUGACUAAGAAGCACCGGCUAAAUACGUGCCAGCAGCAGC